UGGGGGAUAUUGCACAAUGGGCGAAAGCCUGAUGCAGCGACGCCGCGUGGGGGAUGAAGGCUUUCGGGUUGUAAACCUCUUUCGCUAUCGAACAAGGCCCGCUUAGGGUGGGUUGAGGGUAGGUGGAGAAGAAGCGCCGGCUAACUACGUGCCAGCAGCCGCGGUAAUACGUAAGGCGCGAGCGUUGUCCGGAAUUAUUGGGCGUAAAGGGCUUGUAGGCGGGUUGUUGCGCCUGCUGUGAAAACGCGGGGCUUAACUUCGCGCGUGCAGUGGGUACGGGCAGGCUUGAGUGUGGUAGGGGUGACUGGAAUUCCAGGUGUAGCGGUGGAAUGCGCAGAUAUCUGGAGGAACACCGAUGGCGAAGGCAGGUCACUGGGCCAUUACUGACGCUGAGGAGCGAAAGCAUGGGUAGCGAACAGG
Molecule: ribosomal RNA, 420 nt
Filed under: bacterium
Lineage: Bacteria
Description: partial 16S ribosomal RNA
Rfam family: Bacterial small subunit ribosomal RNA
Source: RNAcentral